UGCAUUAUUAGGAAGUACUGUAGAUGG
RNAcentral lists this non-coding RNA (27 nucleotides) under Bombyx mori (domestic silkworm). Lineage: Eukaryota; Metazoa; Arthropoda; Insecta; Lepidoptera; Bombycidae. The record is from RNAcentral.